ACUCUUUGGUUUCCGCCCUGGAGCAAGCCGGGGCCUGGUCGGCAGCUGGGCCGCCAUGGAGUCCACGCUGGGCGCGGGCAUCGUGAUAGCCGAGGCGCUACAGAACCAGCUAGCCUGGCUGGAGAACGUGUGGCUCUGGAUCACUUUUCUGGGCGAUCCCAAGAUCCUCUUUCUGUUCUACUUCCCCGCGGCCUACUACGCCUCCCGCCGUGUGGGCAUCGCGGUGCUCUGGAUCAGCCUCAUCACCGAGUGGCUCAACCUCAUCUUCAAGUGGUGAGACAGAGAAGCCCUCCGGCAUCGUGGUCCCCACCCCCGAGGGCCCUGAGUCAUGUGUAAGCCCUGGUCUCUUUCAGCAACUGUCUCAAGGGCCUUCCCACCCCUACUCUGUAGUCCCUGAUUUUUUUUCCCCUUGAGCAUCUUUGUGCAGCUUGGACUCAAACCUCAGAGUCCAACCAUCCUACUCAUUAGACCAGUGUUCUUCAAACUGGUCUGAUGGAAAAAUCACCUAAGGGGCGUGUCUAAAAUGUAAAUAUCCCAUCCUCAUCUCACACUUACUAAUUUAGAAACUCCAAGGGGUUGGGAAUUUAUUUUUUAUUUUUUAUUUUUGGUUUAUGGCAAUUCAUAUUUUAACAAAUAUGGUGAUUUAAGUAGUGGAGAGUCCUACCUCUCAACUCACUUUUUCAUUCAUCUAUUCAUUCAUUUGCUAUAAUUUUUCAGAAGCAUGCUUUGUGCUGGGCAUCACGGUAGCUGCUAAGGACAGAGACACCUUGCAGAUUAAGGUGUGAUCCCUGGACCAUGCCCAACGGCAUAGGCAGCACUUGAAAACUGGCUAAAAACGCAGACUCUCAGGCCCCGGGCCAGAGCUACUGAAUCAAAAUCUGCAUUUUAACAAGGUUCCCAGGUGAUUCCCUGUGCGUACGCAGUAAAGUUUGGGCUAAAGCACUGCUUUCCAGGGAACACUUUCUCUUCUUUCUCUUUCAUUCACCAGUAGACUCUUCACACUGAGACUUAGAAGCCAGGAAUCCCAGGGACAUGGGUGGAGGCCCUGUGGCCCCUGGGGCUGGGCAUGCAGCCACACCUCCCUUCACCUCAGCCUCUGUUGCCAGAUCCUCAGCCUGAGGGAAGGAAGGGAGGCUCAUAGGAGGUAUUUCAAUGAGCUGGAAUGACUUGCUGAAAAACAACAUAGAGUUCCCCUCCCUUCCACUCUUUUCCACGAGGGCCUCAUCCUUAUGUAAAGGGAACCACAGUGAUCUGUUCACUUCUUUCUUGCCUAAUUGCCCUUUGCUUUGUGCUCUCCUCUCUCAAAGUCUGUAUAAGCCUCCCCCUCUAUUCCUUGUCCCCCAAAGAUCACAAUCUCCUUCAGACACUAUUAAUGUCCCCCAAGUGGCAAAGUCCCUAUUCAUUUUCAUUUUCUUUUUUUUUUUUUUUUUUUUUUGGAGACGGAGUCUCACUCAGUCGCCCAGGCUGGAGUGCAGUGGCGCAAUCUUGGCUCACUGCAAACUCCGUCUCCCGGCUUCAUGCCAUUCUCCUGCCUCAGCCUCCCAAGUAGCUGGGAUCACAGGCGUGUGCCACGACACUCGGCUAAUUUUUGUAUUUUUAGUAGAGAAGGGGUUUCGCCUUGUUGGCCGGGCUGGUCUCAAACUCCUGACCUCAGGUGAUCCGCCCGCUUCAGCCUCCCAAAGUGCUGGGAUUAUAGGCGUGAGCAACCUGGCAUUCUUUUUUUUUUUUUUUUUUUAAUUCUUUUUGAGAUGGAGUCUUGCCCUGUUGCCCAGGCUGGCGUGCAAUGGCAUGAUCUUGGCUCACUGCAACCUCUGUCUCUCAGGUUCAAGAGAUUCUUCUGCCUCAGCCUCCCCAGUAGCUGUGAUUAUCGGCACCCACCACUACGCCCGGCUAAUUUUUUAUUUCUAGUAGAGACAGGGUUUCACCUUGUUGGUCAGGCUGGUCUCAAACUCCUGGCCUCAAGUGAUCCACCCUCCUCUGCCUCCCAAAGUGCUGGGAUUACAGGCGUGAGCCACCGCGCCUGGCACCCCCGUUCAUUUUCUGUGUGAGCACUUGUUGUAUAUAUACUAGGCUCAGUUUUCAGAGGGGAGAGGCAAGUGCCUUCUGUAUCUCCCUCCCCAGCACGUGGCUUCCUGCCAGCAUCUCUUUUGCUAUCCCAUCUUUUCUCUUUCUGGCCACAGCAGCCUCUUCAUUGUGUGGUUCCCAGGGCCUAGCCAAGCACUUGCUAGACCAGAGGAUUUUGACAUUUUUUUGUUCUCCUUAUUCUUUCUCAGACUUCUCUGUCCAUCUCCCACCCCCAUUUUCAGAUCUGAGAGGCUCACCUAAAUAAUUUAGGUGUGGAUAAUUCAGGCUGUAACUGGGGACAUGGAGGCAGGGGUAGCAGGAGGGUUAGUGAGGGCCUGGAGGAGACAGCUGGGUCCUAGACUCUCUGUGGAUGAGAGCUGGCCUUGCAGUGAGAGGGGGUAGAGUGGGACGGCUGAGUAUCUCAGAGCACACACACGGCUUACCACAAUCUCUUGCCUCUGUAUCAGUUUUAUUUUUUAUUUUAUUCACUUUUUCUUUUUUUGAGACAGGAUCUCACUCCAUCACCAGGCUGGAGUACAAUGGCACAAUCACAGCUCACUGCAGCCUCAACCUCCUGGGCUCAAGUGCUCCUUCCCACUUCAGCCUCUGGAGUAGCAGGGACUACAGGCGCACCCCAAGAUGCCUGGCUAAUUUUUGUAUUUUUUGUAGAGAUGGGGUUUUGUCAUGUUGCCCAGGCUAUUCUCGAACUCCUGGGCUCAAGUGAUCUGCCCGCCCAGCCUCCCAAGUAGCUGAGACUAUAGGUGUGCACCACCACUCCCAGCUAAUUUUUUGUUUUUGUUGAAUCUGGGUCUUGCUAUGUUGCCCAGGCUGGUCAUGAACUCCUGGCUUCAAGUGAUCCUCCAGCUAAGGCCUCCCAAAGUACUGGGAUUACAGUCAUGAGCCACUGUACCUGGCCCCAGACUAGUUUUUAAAAAUAGUGUUUCCACAGGCUGAGGGUUAGG
Molecule: small RNA, 3026 nt
Filed under: Pan troglodytes (chimpanzee)
Lineage: Eukaryota; Metazoa; Chordata; Mammalia; Primates; Hominidae
Description: retained intron
Source: RNAcentral